Cotesia glomerata is the source of this 412-nucleotide long non-coding RNA. RefSeq lists it as uncharacterized. The record is from RefSeq and is a predicted model, not a curated record. The transcript is spliced from 2 exons. NCBI's taxonomy places the organism in Eukaryota, Metazoa, Arthropoda, Insecta, Hymenoptera, Braconidae.
UGUAACCAAGGUGCGACCUAACGUGAGUGGCAUUGCUAGUACCCUGAGGCGUUGGGCCUAGGGAUUUUCCUAGACCAAAAAUAAGUGAUUUAAUUUGAUUGUUUUGAUUGUUGUUGUUUACUAUCAAGAAAACGUGACAUAAUUAUCAACAAUGAUGUGGAGGAAAAUAAUUAAGGUCGUGACUAAUGUGAUGAGAUUGAUAUUUAAUUAAAAUUUAUUUAGCAGUAUGAUUUAGUUGAUGAUGAUGAGGUUGGUGGAAGAAAUGAUACCAACGACGAUGACUUACCUACUGGAACAACGUGUAUCUUGAUAAAGUGAUUUUUAGCAUGAGUGUUUGAAUAACGUAGCUCGUUGUUGCGGAGCGUAUGAAGAAUAAUACGACCAUGUUGAACCAAACGUUGAGCAAGGAAUC